GUUAUUAGCACCACGC
This 16-nucleotide microRNA is filed under the name Callorhinchus milii (elephant shark). Its description in RNAcentral is "eshark_NOVEL_264". The record is from RNAcentral. Lineage: Eukaryota; Metazoa; Chordata; Chondrichthyes; Chimaeriformes; Callorhinchidae.